GCUCUGUCAGUGUUGCGCUACU
This 22-nucleotide microRNA is filed under the name Callorhinchus milii (elephant shark). Its description in RNAcentral is "Cmi-Mir-130-P4a_5p* (star (passenger))". RNAcentral also lists the same sequence under 1 other name. Lineage: Eukaryota; Metazoa; Chordata; Chondrichthyes; Chimaeriformes; Callorhinchidae. The record is from RNAcentral.